CUACCAUGCAAGUCGAGCGAGAAAGUCUGGUAGCAAUACAGAUGAGUAAAGCGGCGCACGGGUGAGUACAAAAUGAGUAACCUACCAGAAAGUUCGGGACAACUCUGGGAAACUGGAGCUAAUACCGGAUGUGGUUAUCAGGACUUCGGUUCUGAUAAUUAAAGGUGACCUCUCCAUGGAAGUUAUCGCUUUCUGAUGGGCUCAUUUCCUAUCAUGGUAGUUGGUAGGGUAAUGGCCUACCAAGCCGAUGACGGGUAGCUGGUCUGAGAGGACGGCCAGCCACGCUGGGACUGAAACACGGCCCAGACUCCUACGGGAGGCAGCAGUGGGGAAUAUUGGACAAUGGGCGAAAGCCUGAUCCAGCGACGCCGCGUGGGCGAUGAAGGUCUUCGGAUUGUAAAGCCCUGUGAGACGGGAAGAAAAGUGCGCGGGAAUAAUACCCCGUGUAUUUGACGGUACCGUCAGAGGAAGCACCGGCUAACUCUGUGCCAGCAGCCGCGGUAAUACAGAGGGUGCAAGCGUUGUCCGGAAUUACUGGGUGUAAAGGGCGCGUAGGUGUCCGGAUGUGUCAGAUGUGAAAUUCCAUGGCUUAACUAUGGAUCUGCAUUUGAAACUAUCCGGAUAGAGUACGGUAGGGGAAAGUGGAAUUCCCGGUGUAGAAGUGAAAUUCGUA
This 673-nucleotide ribosomal RNA is filed under the name uncultured bacterium. Its description in RNAcentral is "bacterial SSU rRNA". It matches the Rfam family "Bacterial small subunit ribosomal RNA", at positions 49 to 692 of the family's 1533-position model. The record is from RNAcentral.